GUCAGGUUGGCCGAGCAGUCUGAGGCGCGGUUCUCGAAAGGGAGCGUGGUUUCGAACCCCACACCUGACG
This is a non-coding RNA of Rhamnusium bicolor, 70 nucleotides long. The record is from the annotation of a GenBank genome assembly. NCBI's taxonomy places the organism in Eukaryota, Metazoa, Arthropoda, Insecta, Coleoptera, Cerambycidae.